Long non-coding RNA from Homo sapiens (human), 1458 nucleotides. Lineage: Eukaryota; Metazoa; Chordata; Mammalia; Primates; Hominidae. The record is from Ensembl.
GCUCCCCAAGGCCUUUCCCACCGCGUCAUUGUCUCGGUUUAUCUGCAGAUACGUCUACCUAGCAGUCAGCCCAGCAGCGUAAGUGGUGACCAGUGUGGGCCUCUUUGAUCCUGAGACCGAAGGCUCGGCCACUGGCCCUCUCCAUUUGUUCCUUGUUGCCCUCCCUUCAUGAUUCAAUCCAUUAAUUAGGACUUUUCCUACCAGCUGGCAGUUCAGAGCUCCGCAUCCCCAGGCCUCUGAGUCACAGUUCCUGCCUUCAUGAAACUAGGAGUUGGGGCCACUGCAUUCUACUCCUUCGGGACUAUUGUUUCAUUUCUCAGUCCCUCAAACCCUUUAUUGGAUGAACAUGGGGUUAGGACAGCGGUUCUCCACUGCAACAGUUUUGCCUCCCAGGAGACAUUUGGCAAUGUAUGAAUCAUUUUCAGCCUCUCAUCUGGGGUGAGAUGUCAUUGGAAUCUACAGAUGGUGGAGGGCACAGGUCCUAAUUUCAACGUAUUUCCAUAUGUUCUUUAAAAUCACCUGAAACUGCCCUGCGCAGGCUCACACCACGGCUCUGUACCAAGGGCUUGGACCCGCCUGCAGCCAGACGGCAUCUCACUAGAUGUCAUCAUCAUCAAAGAGAUCUUCAAAACCAUUUAAAAAGUCUACAUGAACAGCCUUUUCAUUAGUUGCCAAGUCCAUCAAGAACCUGGUGCUGCCUCCCGCCUCGUCCAGGUCCACGUAGGGCCCGGCGCCCUUGGAAACAUCUCAUCCACGGCCAGCUACAUCUUGGGCUGCGGCGCUCUAGGCCCACUUCCGGCCACGGGGCCGCUUCCUAUUUUUCUAUUUUUUAACAACUCCCCAUAUUAAUAUUCAUUCACUCAUUGACUGUUAAGCCCUUCUAUGUAUCAGGAAUUGUUCUAGGUACUAGGACAUAUCAGUUAAGAAAACAUUUGUUAAUCCUUGCCUUCAUGUAGUUUAUUAGAUUGUGAACAGAUCAGAAAAAAACAUGUAAAAAAUUAUAAAAUGUUAGGUGAUCAAAGUUAUGGUGAAAAACAGGAAAGGGAAGAGGCAGAAGGAGUGUUGAGGUGCAGUGUUAAAUAGAGUAGUCAGAGAAGACCUCUCUGAAAUGUCAUUUGAGUUAAAUUCUGAAAGGUGUGAGGAAGUCAGCCUUGUGACUAUGUCUAGAGGAAGAGCAUUCCAAGAAAAUAAAACUGUCAGAGUGGCUUGGUGAUGCCUGAAAAUGCAUUUUACUAUUUUUGUACACGUCUGAAAUUUUCCAUGAAACAAGUUAAAAAAAAAAGUAGCCCUGGUAAAAGGGAGGUUGAAGCGGGCGGAUCACUUGAGGUCAGGAGUUGGAGACCAGCCUGGCCAACACGCUGAAACCUCGUCUCUACUAAAAAUACAAAAAAAAAAAUUAGCCGGGCGUGGUGGCGGGCGCCUGUAAUCCCAGCUACUUGGGAGGCUGAGGCAGGAGAA